UNUGAAGUUAAAGGCAUUGGCUCAANCAAUGUAUGCUUUGGAAACUGUUAGACUUGAGUGCAGAAGGGGAGAGUGGAAUUCCAUGUGUAGCGGUGAAAUGCGUAGAUAUAUGGAGGAACACCGGUGGCGAAAGCGGCUCUCUGGUCUGUCACUGACGCUGAGGCUNGAAAGCGUGGGUAGCGAACAGGAUUAGAUACCCUGGUAGUNCACGCCGUAAACGCUGAGUGCUAGGUGUUAGGUCCUUUCCGGGACUUAGUGCCGACGCUAACGCAUUAAGCACUCCGCCUGGGGAGUACGACCGCAAGGUUGAAACUCAAAGGAAUUGACGGGGGCCCGCACAAGCGGUGGAGCAUGUGGUUUAAUUCGAAGCAACGCGAAGAACCUUACCAGGUCUUGACAUCCCGAUGCCCGCUCUAGAGAUAGAGUUUUUCUUCGGAACAUCGGAGACAGGUGGUGCAUGGUUGUCGUCGGCUCGUGUCGUGAGAUGUUGGGUUAAGUCCCGCAACGAGCGCAACCCUUAUUGUUAGUUGCCAUCAUUAAGUUGGGCACUCUAGCGAGACUGCCGGUAAUAAACCGGAGGAAGGUGGGGAUGACGUCAAAUCAUCAUGCCCCUUAUGACCUGGGCUACACACGUGCUACAAUGGUUGGUACAACGAGUCGCAAGCCGGUGACGGCAAGCUAAUCUCUGAAAGCCAAUCUCAGUUCGGAUUGUAGGCUGCAACUCGCCUACAUGAAGUCGGAAUCGCUAGUAAUCGCGGAUCAGCACGCCGCGGUGAAUACGUUCCCGGGCCUUGUACACACCGCCCGUCACACCACGAGAGUUUGUAACACCCAAAGUCGGUGAGGUAACCAUUUAUGGGGCCAGCCGCCUAAGGUGGGANGGAUG
Molecule: ribosomal RNA, 886 nt
Filed under: uncultured bacterium
Lineage: Bacteria
Description: bacterial SSU rRNA
Rfam family: Bacterial small subunit ribosomal RNA
Source: RNAcentral